Molecule: ribosomal RNA, 429 nt
Filed under: Gemmatimonadota bacterium
Lineage: Bacteria; Pseudomonadati; Gemmatimonadota
Description: Gemmatimonadetes bacterium partial 16S ribosomal RNA
Rfam family: Bacterial small subunit ribosomal RNA
Source: RNAcentral
UAGGGAAUCUUCGGCAAUGGACGAAAGUCUGACCGAGCAACGCCGCGUGUGUGAAGAAGGUUUUCGGAUCGUAAAACUCUGUUGUUAGAGAAGAACAAGGACGUUAGUAACUGAACGUCCCCUGACGGUAUCUAACCAGAAAGCCACGGCUAACUACGUGCCAGCAGCCGCGGUAAUACGUAGGUGGCAAGCGUUGUCCGGAUUUAUUGGGCGUAAAGCGAGCGCAGGCGGUUUCUUAAGUCUGAUGUGAAAGCCCCCGGCUCAACCGGGGAGGGUCAUUGGAAACUGGGAGACUUGAGUGCAGAAGAGGAGAGUGGAAUUCAAUGUGUAGCGGUGAAAUGCGUAGAUAUAUGGAGGAACACCAGUGGCGAAGGCGGCUCUCUGGUCUGUAACUGACGCUGAGGCUCGAAAGCGUGGGGAGCAAACAGG